CAGUAAGGUGAGGAUUUCCAUGGGUUGCAUACUCAUCUCAAAUGUUCCAGUCAUGUUUUCUGUAAGUUUCCCAAACCCUAGUUUCAUUUUGGCCAAACCUUUUCCCACUGGACUUAAAUUAUUUGAAAACUCUCCAAUCAUGCAGUUUUGACCCUUAUCAGGCUUAAUUUGUUCAUGUUCUCUUUCAGAUCAUGUUGCUUGAAUAGACAAGGAUUUUCUAUCAAUGACACAUGGGUCAAAGGCCCUGCCAGAAUUUCAAACUAUGCUAUCGUUGCUAAGGACAGAAUCUUUUGCUGAUUGAAAAACUAUGAGAUGAGCUGAAAUCAGACUAUUCAAGAUAACUGUCCUCAGAAUUUGUAAGGGGUGGAGAAGGGACACAGCAUCUGCUGUGCCAGGCCAUCAUCUCUGGAACUGGAUUCCUCAGUUGGACCAAAAGAAACAGAAUUUACUGACCUACAGGGCAUCCUGCAUGACUUAUUUAUUUACACACAUCUUUUUGGAGAAGGUUCACACAAAAAGUUGACAAAACCCAGAACUUGGCUGAAUUUUUUAUGGUAUUUAUCUCAACACCACACUUUAUUAUCUUCAAAGACUGUUGCCAAGAUUUCAGUGGUUUGAACCAAAGGUUAACCAAAUGUUAUAGCAACGAAAUGACUAAGCAACUAUGAUUCUGUUUCUGGGCUCUUGGUUGCUGUUUUAGAGAUGACAGCAUGUGAAAGAUUAAUAAAAUACUUUAUAUUCUUGUGGCCAUCCUACUACAUCUUUCAUGCAAACUCCCCGAAUGAAAUAAAACAUUCAAAACACAGAGUCAACAUAUUUCCUAUCCAAAGAAACAACAAUCCAUGCUGCUAUAAGGCACGAUUCCUUUGGCAUAUUGGCCAGUCAGUCGAUUAUCAUAGGACCAAACCCUGCCUUUACCUUCAUAGCAGAAAAGUAUCCCCAAGCAGCUGACCUAGUGUGGUUCUGCUGCACAAGAAAAAGAGGACAGGAUUUGCAGGCAAGUAUGCAAAGGGUUCAGAGCUUGGAAACAUGCAAGGGGGAGGGGCCCGAGAUGAAACAAAGGUAGGUGAGGGUACUCUUGUCUUCCCUUUCAGGAUGUGUCUACAUAACAGAUGGGAAGUUGCGAAGGUCAAAAGAAUGCCCUAAAAUUAGCAAUCUAGCCGUGGCUACACGGGCAAUGGCAUGGGCUAGCCACCUGACCACAAUCCUGCCUAAGCCCCUGGUUACAUACUGGACAGCUAGUACAAGCUGCUGCAGUCACACUGCUAUUUUCAGGCACUAGGUUGAGCUGAGCUGCAUGUGUAUGGCUACCCAAGCUGGGAAUUACACUUCCCAGCUGCUGGUAGCCAGAUCCUGAAAGGUGGGAAGCUGGGGCAAAAACUGCAUAAGCAGUUACAAUGGUUCAUUCACUAGAUACAUAACAGUGUACCAAUACUGUAGCAUACUAUAAUAUACAGUGAAUUCAGUAGAAUCACAUACACAGUAUCAACUGGUUUGCCUUAUUUUUUAUAUUCUAUAGAUAUAUGAU
Trachemys scripta elegans is the source of this 1528-nucleotide long non-coding RNA. RefSeq lists it as uncharacterized. NCBI's taxonomy places the organism in Eukaryota, Metazoa, Chordata, Testudines, Emydidae. The transcript has 3 exons. The record is from RefSeq and is a predicted model, not a curated record.